UGCAAAAUAGCCAUAAAAGGAGAAAGUCCUUGGGAAAAUGGCGAAGGGCCAGAAGUACGCGGCUUUGCACUACGGACAGAAAGACAUCUCCUGCCUUUGGUUAUGCUCGGCGCCAAGAGUUAAUAAAUAGGGAUGUUACUUGUGAGAGUGGGUUGUGGGAGAAGCCCAUGAGUCAUUUAGAGCAUGCUGUCCUUGAAAUGUUUCUACUGAUGUGUUAACUCCGUAUGCGCUCUGCUGGCCGCAUACUUUAAGCUCUUUGUUCCUGCUUCUAUAAAAAAAGCUUGACUGCAGAAAUAAACUUGUCAGUCCUUGCAAGAGACUGUCCAAGUGUCCUUCUUUCAGGUUCGUUGCUUCCAAGUCCUGGGGAGAAAAACCCCAACAAGUGGCGCCAGGAACAGGGACUUAAGAGAAAGUUUGAACAAAGAGACGAGCCCCUGCAGAAAGAGAUGGAGAGGAAAUCUGGGUUCCCCUUCGCCAUGUCCGCUACCGAGAAGGACCCCAAGACCAGACUCCCUCGGGAAGUGAUGAAGUUGAGGCGAAGGGUCUCAUUAAUGACCCUGGAGGAGCCAAUGAGGAAAUGCCAUCAUCUGAAUCCUUACCUGACAUGGGCUGAAGUGAAAAAACAUGACUCGUCCGGCUGAGCAGACACUGAAGAGUAUGAGGAACAUCAUAACUGCUCCUGGUUUAAUAGAUCAAGCAUUGGAGGCUUUCAUAAAUCUAAGACAAGUUUCUGGACUGAUAAGGACAUAUUGCUGAAUUGGUAUAAUGGGGGCUUAUCACCCCCACGACCCAGGAUCAUCAUCCCCAUUGUGGGGCCGGAGCAAUGGCACAUUUGGAAAAUUCCAGCAGCCUUAGAGCACUUUGCUAGUGUUUAUGGGACUGUGGGUGUGUUUCGUCCUUCUAAUUAUACCUUCCUAUACAAUAGUACUGGCUAUAUUCAAUCGUGUGUUCACCUUCCGUACUUGUUUAUUGUAGGGCAUUUUGAUAUUGACUUUUCAGCCAAGAUUGUCAAUUGUACUGCAUGUGCAUUGUAUACCUGCCUUAAUCACACCAUUUCAUAUCACAAUGCUAGCAUUGCACUAGUUAAACAAAGAUCUGAGUUAUGGCUUCCUGUAAACUUAACUGAGCCUUGGACUGAUUCUGUAUUUCUUUCUGUAUUGUUGAAACCUAGGCUUAGGCGAUCUAAGCGCAUCCUUGGGUGGAUUAUUGCAGGCAUCAUAAGCCUUAUCUCCAUUGUGACUGAAGGAAAUUUGUCUGGUAUGGCUUUACAUAAUUCUAUACAAAAUCAUGAUUUUAUCACUGCUUGGCACAAAGACUCUCAUGAUCUGUGGACUCGACAAGCUCAAAUAGAUCAGCAAUUACAAACACGAAUUAAUGAGUUACAAACUGUGAUUAUCCACUUAGGAGAUCAAAUGCAGCAACUGACUUUCUGAACACAUAUACGCUGUCACUGGAAUUUUACUUCUUUUUGUCUGACUAACAUGCCCUAUAACAGCACUGAAUAUCCUUGGAAUAAGGUUAAGGCGCAUUUGCAGGAUCUCACAAGUAACUCAAGUUGAGACAUCAAUUUGUUGAAACAACAAGUUGCUAAUUUUCAAGUUAGGGUACCUAGGGAAUUUUAUAGUACUCAAUUCUAUGAUACUUUAACCAAAACCCUAUCGUCUCUAGACCCUAGAGCUUGGCUUUCAGGAAGCAAUAUUUUCAUAUAUAUAUUAAUCACUCUGCUCUUUUUGUCCUUGAUUAUAGCAUACAGAAGUCUCUACUCAAGACUCCGUGCCUCCCACAAUGGAGUCCAACUAGCCGCCCGCAGUGCUUGAUUUAAAAACAAAAGGAGUAUAUGUUGGGAAGCGUAGUGCAAAAUAGGCGUAAAAGGAGAAAGUCCUUGGGAAAAUGGCGAAGGGCCAGAAGGACGCGGCUUUGCACUACGGACAGAAAGACAUCUCCUGCCUUUGGUUAUGCUCGGCGCCAAGAGUUAAUAAUAAAUAGGGAUGUUACUUGUGAGAGCGGGUUGUGGGAGAAGCCCAUGAAUCAUUUAGAACACGCUGUCCUUGAAAUGUUUCUACUGAUUAUGUGUUAACUCCGUAUGCGCUCUGCUGGCCACAUACUUUAAGCUCUUUGUUCCUGCUUCUAUAAAAAAGCUUGAUUGCAGAAAUAAACUUGUCAGUCCUUGCAAGAGACUGUCCAAGUGUCCUUCUUUCAGGUUCGUUGCUUCCAAGUCCCAGGGAGAAAAACCCCAAACAGUCUACAAACAAUAAAUACUGGAGAGGGUGCAGAGAAAAGGGAACCCUCUUACACUGUUGGUGGGAAUGCAAACUAGUACAGCCACUAUGGAGAAUGGUGUGGAGAUUCCUUAAAAAACUGGAAAUAGAACUGCAACAAUGCAUCGUAAAACCUUCAGAAGGAAAGGAGAAUGUUUUUGUGGACCAUAUGUUUUGUGUGUGGCAGUUUAAGUUAUUAGUUUUUAAAAUCAGUACUUUUUAAUGAAAACAACUUGACCAAAAAUCUGUCACAGAAUUUGAGACCCAUUAAAAAAAGUUUAAUGAGA
This is a long non-coding RNA of Bubalus bubalis (water buffalo), 2545 nucleotides long. RefSeq lists it as uncharacterized. NCBI's taxonomy places the organism in Eukaryota, Metazoa, Chordata, Mammalia, Artiodactyla, Bovidae. The record is from RefSeq and is a predicted model, not a curated record. The transcript has 2 exons.